CGGGGGGAGCAAGCGUUGUUCGGAUUUACUGGGCGUAAAGGGCGCGUAGGCGGCCACCGCAAGUCGGUUGUGAAAUCUCCGGGCUUAACCCGGAAAGGUCAACCGAUACUGCGGGGCUAGAGUGCAGAAGGGGCAACUGGAAUUCUCGGUGUAGCGGUGAAAUGCGUAGAUAUCGAGAGGAACACCUGCGGCGAAGGCGGGUUGCUGGGCUGACACUGACGCUGAGGCGCGAAAGCUAGGGGAGCGAACGGGAUUAGAUACCCCGGUAGUCCUGGCCUUAAACGAUGGAUGCUUGGUGUCUGGGGUUUUAUAGUCCCCGGGUGCCGUCGCUAACGCUUUAAGCAUCCCGCCUGGGGAGUACGGUCGCAAGACUG
RNAcentral lists this ribosomal RNA (374 nucleotides) under uncultured organism. RNAcentral describes it as "bacterial SSU rRNA". It matches the Rfam family "Bacterial small subunit ribosomal RNA", at positions 526 to 896 of the family's 1533-position model. The record is from RNAcentral.